RNAcentral lists this long non-coding RNA (194 nucleotides) under Apteryx owenii (little spotted kiwi). RNAcentral describes it as "lncRNA (ENSAOWG00000014759.1)". Lineage: Eukaryota; Metazoa; Chordata; Aves; Apterygiformes; Apterygidae. The record is from RNAcentral.
GUGUAUUAAGACCUUUCCUUUAAGGAAAAGAAGAAAAAAAAAAAAAAGAAAAGAAAGAAAAGGAACAUGGUCCUGCGGAGGUUUCACAAUAUGUCUGCAAUAACACACGGUCAUGCCAGAGAAGUGUUAGAAUGGUUGUUUGCAGAGAAUAAAGAAAAUGUGUUAUCUUAUGUGGAGCAGAGUGAGGAUUGGCU